This 523-nucleotide ribosomal RNA is filed under the name uncultured bacterium. RNAcentral's name for it is "bacterial SSU rRNA". It matches the Rfam family "Bacterial small subunit ribosomal RNA", at positions 8 to 526 of the family's 1533-position model. The record is from RNAcentral.
AGAGUUUGAUCCUGGCUCAGAUUGAACGCUGGCGGCAGGCCUAACACAUGCAAGUCGAGCGGAUGAGAGGAGCUUGCUCCUUGAUUUAGCGGCGGACGGGUGAGUAAUGCCUAGGAAUCUGCCUGGUAGUGGGGGAUAACGUUCCGAAAGGAACGCUAAUACCGCAUACGUCCUACGGGAGAAAGCAGGGGACCUUCGGGCCUUGCGCUAUCAGAUGAGCCUAGGUCGGAUUAGCUAGUUGGUGAGGUAAUGGCUCACCAAGGCGACGAUCCGUAACUGGUCUGAGAGGAUGAUCAGUCACACUGGAACUGAGACACGGUCCAGACUCCUACGGGAGGCAGCAGUGGGGAAUAUUGGACAAUGGGCGAAAGCCUGAUCCAGCCAUGCCGCGUGUGUGAAGAAGGUCUUCGGAUUGUAAAGCACUUUAAGUUGGGAGGAAGGGCAUUAACCUAAUACGUUAGUGUUUUGACGUUACCGACAGAAUAAGCACCGGCUAACUUCGUGCCAGCAGCCGCGGUAAUAC